UACGUAGGGGGCAAGCGUUGUCCGGAAUCAUUGGGCGUAAAGCGCGCGUAGGCGGCCCGGUAAGUCCGUUGUGAAAGUCAGAGGCUCAACCUCUGGAGGCCAAUGGAUACUGCCGGGCUAGAGUCCGGAAGAGGCGAGUGGAAUUCCUGGUGUAGCGGUGGAAUGCGCAGAUAUCAGGAGGAACACCGAUGGCGAAGGCAGGUCUCUGGGCUAACACUGACGCUCAUGCACGAAAGCGUGGGGAGCAAACAGG
RNAcentral lists this ribosomal RNA (253 nucleotides) under uncultured bacterium. Its description in RNAcentral is "partial 16S ribosomal RNA". It matches the Rfam family "Bacterial small subunit ribosomal RNA", at positions 524 to 776 of the family's 1533-position model. The record is from RNAcentral.